AGCGUGGGGAACGAACGGGAAUAGAUACCCCGGUAGUCCACGCCGUAAACGAUGUCUACUAGGUUGUGGCGGUUCUGACGCCGGCACAGCCGAAGCAAAAGUGUUAAGUAGACCGCCUGGGGAGUACGGUCGCAAGGCUAAAACUCAAAGGAAUUGACGGGGGCUCACACAAGCGGUGGAGCAUGUGGAUUAAUUCGAAGCAACGCGCAGAACCUUACCUGGGUUUGACAUGCUUGGAUCCCGCCCUGGAAACAGGGUUGGCUGCCUUCGGGUGAAACUUGCACAGGUGCUGCAUGGCUGUCGUCAGCUCGUGUCGUGAGAUGUCGGGUUAAGUCCUUUAACGAGCGAAACCCUUACCGUUAGUUGCCAGCGGGUCAGGCCGGGGACUCUAACGGGACUGCCGGUGUUAAACCGGAGGAAGGUGGGGAUGACGUCAAGUCAUCAUGGCCUUUAUGCCCAGGGCCUCACACGUGCUACAAUGGUCGGGACAGAGCGACGCGAGACCGUGAGGUGGAGCCAAUCGCAAAAACCCGGCCCCAGUUCGGAUUGCAGGCUGGAACUCGCCUGCAUGAAGGUGGAAUCGCUAGUAAUCGCGUAUCAGCUAUGACGCGGUGAAUGUGUUCCUGAGCCUUGUACA
This 637-nucleotide ribosomal RNA is filed under the name uncultured organism. RNAcentral's name for it is "bacterial SSU rRNA". It matches the Rfam family "Bacterial small subunit ribosomal RNA", at positions 758 to 1387 of the family's 1533-position model. The record is from RNAcentral.